UGAGUGUGUGUAUAUGUGCUUUUUGUUGAGAUUGCUAUAUCAGGGUGUUUUUGUUUUUUUUUUUGAAUGAUAGAAAUUGUCUUUCAUUUUUAUUUACCUAUCCUGUUUUAGAUCAGUGGUCAGCCCUGUUUUCUGCUGGGAUAAACCUUGUGGAAGAUCUCUUCAUGCACAAAGUGACACAGGUAUAUCAUUCAUCUGGGUCUGUGGCCUAGAAAAGACAGACUCUGAGUUUUGUGCAGCUCCCCAUGAAGAAAAUGAAGUACAACAAAAUCAAGCUCUUCGGCACAGGCUUCCAGGCACCAAGAGAUUUGGGACUAGCAUACAGAUCCACCACCCCACAAACUUACCUUUAUCACAGUUACAUAUUAAGAAUUUUAUAUUUGUACAUCUUAAUGCACCUUGUUUUGUAGGGCUGAUUGAAGACUUUUUUUGCCCUCUGGCGACAUUGUAACUGUGAAAGCAAUGGACGAAUAAAG
RNAcentral lists this long non-coding RNA (476 nucleotides) under Macaca mulatta (Rhesus monkey). RNAcentral's name for it is "lncRNA (ENSMMUG00000039081.2)". Lineage: Eukaryota; Metazoa; Chordata; Mammalia; Primates; Cercopithecidae. The record is from RNAcentral.